CCCUUAGAUGUUCUGGGCCGCACGCGCGCUACACUGACGGAGCCAACGAGUACUUUCCUUGUCCGGAAGGACUGGGUAAUCUUGUGAAACUUCGUCGUGCUGGGGAUAGAGCAUUGCAAUUAUUGCUCUUCAACGAGGAAUUCCUAGUAAGCGUGAGUCAUCAGCUCGCGUUGAUUACGUCCCUGCCCUUUGUACACACCGCCCGUCGCUACUACCGAUUGAACGGUUUAGUGAGGGCCUCGGAUUGGUCUCGGCCCGCUCUUUACCGGGCGGCGCCGUUGGUCGAGAAGACGCUCGAACUUGAUCGUUUAGAGGAAGUAAAAGUCGUAACA
This 332-nucleotide ribosomal RNA is filed under the name uncultured eukaryote. RNAcentral describes it as "partial 18S ribosomal RNA". It matches the Rfam family "Eukaryotic small subunit ribosomal RNA", at positions 1470 to 1796 of the family's 1831-position model. The record is from RNAcentral.